UACGGGGGGAGCAAGCGUUGUUCGGAUUUACUGGGCGUAAAGGGCGCGUAGGCGGUCGUGACAAGUCACUUGUGAAAUCUCCGGGCUUAACUCGGAACGGUCAAGUGAUACUGUCGGACUAGAGUACAGAAGGGGCAACUGGAAUUCUCGGUGUAGCGGUGAAAUGCGUAGAUAUCUGGAGGAAUACCGGUGGCGAAGGCGGCAUCCUGGACCGAGAUUGACGCUGAGGAGCGAAAGCUAGGGGAGCAAACGGG
Molecule: ribosomal RNA, 254 nt
Filed under: uncultured bacterium
Lineage: Bacteria
Description: partial 16S ribosomal RNA
Rfam family: Bacterial small subunit ribosomal RNA
Source: RNAcentral